Molecule: transfer RNA, 72 nt
Filed under: Candidatus Azambacteria bacterium RIFCSPHIGHO2_01_FULL_51_74
Lineage: Bacteria; Candidatus Azamiibacteriota
Also listed under: 2 other names
Description: tRNA-Glu
Rfam family: tRNA
About the family: Transfer RNA (tRNA) molecules are approximately 80 nucleotides in length. Their secondary structure includes four short double-helical elements and three loops (D, anti-codon, and T loops). Further hydrogen bonds mediate the characteristic L-shaped molecular structure. tRNAs have two regions of fundamental functional importance: the anti-codon, which is responsible for specific mRNA codon recognition, and the 3' end, to which the tRNAs corresponding amino acid is attached (by aminoacyl-tRNA synthetases). tRNAs cope with the degeneracy of the genetic code in two manners: having more than one tRNA (with a specific anti-codon) for a particular amino acid; and 'wobble' base-pairing, i.e. permitting non-standard base-pairing at the 3rd anti-codon position.
Source: RNAcentral
GGCGCAUUCGUCUAGUGGUCAGGACACUUGGUUCUCAGCCAGGUAACAGGGGUUCGAUUCCCCUAUGCGCUA